Molecule: ribosomal RNA, 468 nt
Filed under: uncultured bacterium
Lineage: Bacteria
Description: partial 16S ribosomal RNA
Rfam family: Bacterial small subunit ribosomal RNA
Source: RNAcentral
GACGAACGCUGGCGGCGUGCUUAACACAUGCAAGUCGAACGGAAAGGCCCUGCUUUUGUGGGGUGCUCGAGUGGCGAACGGGUGAGUAACACGUGAGUAACCUGCCCUUGACUUUGGGAUGACUUCAGGAAACUGGGGCUAAUACCGGAUAGGAGCUCCUGCUGCAUGGAGGGGGUUGGAAAGUUUCGGCGGUUGGGGAUGGACUCGCGGCUUAGCAGCUUGUUGGUGGGGUAGUGGCUUACCCAGGCUUUGAAGGGUAGCCGGCCUGGGAGGGUGAACGGCCACAUUGGGACUGAGAGACGGCCCAGACUCCUACGUGAGGCAGUAGGCGGGAAUAUUGCACAAUGGGCGGAAGCCUGAUGCAGCAACGCCGCGUGCGGGAUGACGGCCUUCGGGUUGUAAACCGCUUUCGCCUGUGACGAAGCGGGAGUGACGGUAACGGGUAAAGAAGCACCGGCUAACUACGUG